UGCCCCAGUCGAUUGCCAAUAAAAGUCAGUGCCUGGGACUGUCCGUUGCACCGGCAUUGGUCGCCCUGGCACUCUGCUUUCUUUCUCUUACUUCUGUCUCAGUGUAUUCUUUUCUCAGGCCUGCCCUGCACACUGAACAGGUGGGGACUGGAGCCUGACUACAGGAGUCUCCAACAGAAAAAUAUUCCUGUGAGUAUAUAUACCACACUUUCCCUCUCUAUUCAUCUGCUGAUGGACACCUAGGUUGGUUCCAUAUAUCAGAUAUUGUGAAUAGUGCUGCCACAAACCUAAGAGUAUAGAUGCCUUCUCAACAUAUCCUUUCAUUCCCUUUGGCUAAGUACCCAGGUGUAGACUUGGGUCAGACAGUUGUAUUUUCAAUUUUUUGAGGAAAUUCCAGACUGUUUUCUAUAACAACUGUACAUCAAAGCACAACAUGUGGUCUACAUAGAUGAUCUAUCUACAUGAUGGCUAUUAUUCAGCACAGAAAAGGAAGGUGAUUCUGACACAUGCUGUGUCAUGAGGACAGGAACUAAGUGAAACAAACCAUCAUAAAAGCACAAAUACUGCAUAAUUCUACAUAUGUGAGGUGUCUGGAAUAGUCACGUUCAUAGACAGAACUAGAGUACAGGUUACCAGGAGGUAGGAGGGGAGGAAAAUGGGGAGUUAAUGUUUAAUAAGUACAGAGUUUCUGUUUGGGAUGAUGAAAAAGUUCUGGAAAUGGAUAAUAGUGAUGAUUAUGCAACAUUGUGAAUGUACUUUAUUGUCAUUGAACUGCGCACUUAAAAUCAUUAAAAUAUCACAUUUCAUUAUGUAUAUUUUGCCACAAUAAAAAAGAAUCAUAAAGGAAGAAAGGAAGGGAGGAAGCAGAAAGGGAGGAAGGAAGUCCCAAACUACAGUCUGGUGCCCAGUCUGCUCACCUAAGCCACUGUUAUUUCUAUAAGCUCUGUUACUUCCGAGAUGGCUCCCCCAGUGGAUGGCAGCAGAGCUAGGCUAAUUGCAUUGAAAAGGCAAAGCCCACCAGUUCCUCCACUCGCCCUAAACCUGAGGCACUGCCAGGCCCAGCGCCCCUGCCCUGCCCUUUGGCCUCCCCACUCCUUCCCUCCUGGACUCAGCUGGAGCCUCGUGGGCCAAAAGCCUCUUGCCAGCACCUCCCCCAGCCCCAGUAGUACCAACCCCUCAUGUAUGCUGCCAGGACAAAUAUUAGUUAAGUCUUAAUUCUCCCUGUUGAAAAUGGGGGAAGAGAUCCCCAUGCCCUGCUUUUCCCAGAGCUUUGACCCUGGAAAGUUGGCCAUUGUAUUAUAUCUCCUUUCCAUGAAAUGUGUCUAAAAUCUUUCUGAGUACUAGGGAGAACUUUGCCAGCUAAAGGACCAGGGACGUCCUUCUCGGGGACCUGGAACCUCUCUAGGAAAGACUCCUAGCCGACCCCUGUGAUAUGCAUUGUGUUCUGGUUCGGUGUCCACUCAAGAAUUAGAGCAUUCCCUUCUCCACUACCUUUCGCCCAGCCCUACACAGGGCAAGAUGCUGCUAUUCCCAUGACCCUGUAUCUUCGUGCAGUGGCUCCGCGCACCCACGUUCAUCCUGAGAAGACUCCGGGACACCCCAGAGCAGUGACCCCACCCACCUCACCACAUUCUGCACACCACUCUGCUUCUCCAUAAUGACCGUCAGCAGACAAAACUAUCCUGCUCCUUGUGCCGCUGGGAGACUCUGGAGAGCAUUUGGUUACAAGAACCAUCUACUCAUUGAGCCAUCUGCUUGCGCGUACCCACACCGCAAAGGCGGUCUCAUUUGCUACCAUUCUUUAAGUCACACCAAAAUGUCUUCAUUGCUUACGGAAAGCUUUUAAGGGACUGGAUCCCCUCCAGAGAACCUGGCAGUGAAGUUGAGAUGAAGAGAAGUCACAGGAUCUUGCAUUUUUUACAAACCAGCUCCCACGGCUGGUCAGAUAGGCAAACCAGGGCAUGGUGAGGACCGGGCUUCACCUGGGCUGGCCUCGCAUCACCGCUCCCUGAGCUCCCUUCCACCUUCAGAUCACAUCACAGGCCACUCAGGGACGACCACCCGUGCUCAGGCUGAGGGACUGGGCCCCUCGGCAGUUAAGGCCUGCUCCCAAAUGCACAGAAGCUCAAGACCCUUCUCCACAGCUCCCUCGUGUGGUCGCAUGUUUCCUGUUUCUCUUUUACAGUCCUCUCAUCCCGGGUUCCUGGACAGCAUUUGUUUGAUAUAAACCCUUCUGUUCAGUUUACAGUGAUCAAAGGCGGACGUAGUUCAAACAUGGAUCAGUGGAUACAGGGGGGAAACAUUAUAUCCAUAGACGGGUAUACUACUCAGCCAAAGAGGAAGGAAACACCAACAGGACUCCUUGGAUGAACCUUGGGGACACUGUGCUGAGGGAAAUAGCUAGGGUAGACAUGUUCAUAGGGAGAGAAAGUAGGAUGGGCUGCCAGGGGCUGGGUAGGGAGUGGAGAGUUAGUGUGUGUCCUGGCAGAGUUUCAGUUGGGAAACAUGGAAAAGUUCUGGAGAUGAGUGGUGAUGACGACUUCAAAGCAUUGUGCAGGUAUUGGAUGCCACAGCCCUGGACACUUAGGAACACUCCCUGGGUGUCAACGGGGGAUUCUUUCCCCAGCCCAAAUCCAAGGAUGCUCCAGUCUCUUAUUUAAAAUGGCACAGUAUUGCAUGGAACCUGCGUAUGACCUCCAGUAUAGAUUUAUGUCUGUCUCUUUUCUGUCUAUCUGCUUCUUAGUGAUGGAGAUCGAUCCCAAGGCCUGGCACAAGCUGGGCAAGAUUUUUACCACUAAGCUACACCCUUAGCCCUUCCCGUGGACUUUAAAUCAUCCCUAGAUUGUUUAUAAUACCUAAUGAAAUGUAAAUGCUAUGUAAGUAGCCAUUACAUUGUGCUCUAAAGAAAAACGUGAGAACACAUUUAGCACAAAGUUUUUCCGUAAAUAUUUUCCAUCCAGGAUUGCUGGAAACCUUGGAUGCAGAGGGCCAACUAUAAAUAUAUAAAUAUGUGAUCACUGUGUUCAGGUCAAGACUACUUCUGCUGAAGGACCAGAUUUGUCUCCAGUAAACACAGCUGGCUGCUCCUGCUCAUAAUGACAGGAGCGGAAUGGUGGAAGGAAAGGGUCCUUGGGGCUUCCUCUCCUGCAGCUGCUCCAGGGCUGCUGCCACCCCUGGGGGAGCACUUCCACACAGCACCAGGCCCAGGACUUGCUGAGGUUCUUCUUCCACCCUGACUGGAGGGCACUGUGUUUCUCCUUCCUUCCCCCAGCCCAAGUGUUAGCUCAAGUGGGCUCAAAACUUCUCCUCAGAGUCUCAGACUACAUGAUUUCCAAGUCAUGCUUAGUAUUUUUGCAUUUUAAUUUUACCAUCACUAUGAAAACGAGUAAAGUAUUUUUUAAAAAGCUGGACAUACAAGUUUGUAAAGUCACAGUGGGGAUCUUGCUCCUCCUGCACCCCAAACCAACUCCACUUGCAGGACUUGCCAGCCUGUGAACCAUGGGCUACACAUAUGGUUGUCCCUCAAGACCUCCUGCCACCCUCUUCUCCCUGGGCGACCCCUGGGAGAUUGAUAUAAGGACAGCUCGCAGGCCCCCUGGCUUCCGUGGGCUCUGCUUCCCACCCUGCCCUCUGCCGUGGCCUCAAGGUGAGCCAUCCCCCGCUGCAGAUCCCAGCUGCCCCUGUCUGGAACUGUUCCCUUCCUGUCACCUCAGCCCAGAAGGUUCCAGGGAUCCUGUUCCAAGCCUAGAUGAUGAAGCAACUGUGAUUUUUUUUCAGCUUUAAUUGAGUUUAUUGGUACAUUUUAGGGAUACAGUACAGUUACAUUC
Fukomys damarensis (Damara mole-rat) is the source of this 3827-nucleotide long non-coding RNA. RefSeq lists it as uncharacterized. NCBI's taxonomy places the organism in Eukaryota, Metazoa, Chordata, Mammalia, Rodentia, Bathyergidae. The record is from RefSeq and is a predicted model, not a curated record. The transcript has 3 exons.